This is a non-coding RNA of Oryctolagus cuniculus (rabbit), 315 nucleotides long. The record is from RefSeq and is a predicted model, not a curated record. Lineage: Eukaryota; Metazoa; Chordata; Mammalia; Lagomorpha; Leporidae.
AGGGGCAGGUGUGGGUCUACCCCUGCUCACUGAGGGGCAGGUGUGGGUCUCUACCCCUGCUCACUGAGGGGCAGGUGUGGGUCUACCCUGCUCACUGAGGGGCAGGUGUGCGUCUACCCCUGCUCACUGGGGGGCAGGUGUGGGUCUACCCUGCUCACUGGGGGGCAGGUGUGGGUCUACCCUGCUCACUGAGGGGCAGGUGUGCGUCUACCCCUGCUCACUGGGGGCAGGUGUGGGUCUUCCAUGGUUUGCGUGUCAUCUGCAACAACAUAGGAAAACCUGCUCAGGAAAAGAGAAGCCAGGAGAACGGAGGAG